AACGCACCUUGCACUCUCUGGUAUUCCGGAGAGUACGCCUGUUCGAGUGUCGUGAAACUCUCAAGCUGGAUGGGCUUUUAUUAGUCUGUCUUGGUUUGGAUGUGGACUCUUGCUGUGUUACAACGGCUGGUCUUAAAGGCAUUAGCUGAAUCUUGAUUGGGACUUGGUUCUUACUCGGCGUGAUAAUUAUCUGACCGCUGAGGACAUCUUUCGGGAUGGCCAGACUCUCUCUCGAAUCGCUUCUAACAUGCCGGAAAACUCUCUCUGAGACUUUUCCGUGCACUUUUCAACCUUUGACCUCGAAUCAGGUGGGACUACCCGCUGAACUUAA
This 331-nucleotide unclassified non-coding RNA is filed under the name uncultured fungus. RNAcentral's name for it is "partial contains 5.8S rRNA and ITS2". The record is from RNAcentral. Lineage: Eukaryota; Fungi.